RNAcentral lists this ribosomal RNA (528 nucleotides) under uncultured marine bacterium. RNAcentral's name for it is "bacterial SSU rRNA". It matches the Rfam family "Bacterial small subunit ribosomal RNA", at positions 355 to 896 of the family's 1533-position model. RNAcentral also lists the same sequence under 1 other name. The record is from RNAcentral.
CAGGGAAUAUUGUGCAAUGAGCGAAAGCUUGACACAGCGACACCGCGUGUGGGAUGACGGUUCUAGGAUUGUAAACCACUUUCAGGAGGGAAGAAAAUGACGGUACCUCCACAAGAAGACCCGGCCAACUAUGUGCCAGCAGCCGCGGUAAUACAUAGGGGUCAAGCGUUGUCCGGAUUUAUUGGGCGUAAAGAGCUCGUAGGCGGUUCAACAAGUCGGUCGUAAAAGUUUAGGGCUCAACCCUAAAAUGUCGAUCGAUACUGUUGUGACUAGGAUACGGUAGAGGUGAAUGGAAUUCCGAGUGUAGCGGUGAAAUGCGUAGAUAUUCGGAGGAACACCAAUUGCGAAGGCAGUUCACUGGACCGUGAUCGACGCUGAGGAGCGAAAGCUAGGGGAGCAAACAGGAUUAGAUACCCUGGUAGUCCUAGCUGUAAACGAUGGAUACUAGAUGUAGGAACUGGAUUGACGGUUUCUGUAUCGUAGCUAACGCGUUAAGUAUCCCGCCUGGGGAGUACGGUCGCAAGACUA